RNAcentral lists this small RNA (557 nucleotides) under Pongo abelii (Sumatran orangutan). RNAcentral describes it as "processed transcript". The record is from RNAcentral. Lineage: Eukaryota; Metazoa; Chordata; Mammalia; Primates; Hominidae.
CUCUGGUCCAGGGCAGGACUUUCGCACAGUCCAUUCUGCCACACAAGCACCUUUAUGAAGCCAGAAGGAAAAGCCAGGAUGUGCGUGAUGAGUAGUGGGAAUUUGUGUCAGCCUUCCGACAGGCUCAGUGCCAGCAGAGCGCCUUGCCCCACGUGAAUGCUGGCAUGCGAGUCCUUCUCAAAGAAGGCACAGACAGCAUUGAGGACCUGAGCAUCGCCUAUGGAGGGGUGGGGGCUGCCACCAUCAGUGCACACAGAUCCUGCCAGCAGCUCCUCGGGAGGCGCUGGAAUGAGCUGAUGCUGGAUGAGGCUUGCAGGCUGCUUCUGGAUGAAGUCUCGCUCCUAGGCUCAGCUCUGGGUGGCCGGGUGGAAUUCAAGAGGACCCUAGUCAUCAGCUUCCUCUUCAAGUUCUACCUAGAGGUUCUGCAGGAACUGAAGAAGUUGGUGAAGCUAGUCUCUGUGCCUGACAGCCGUCAUCAUUCUGAAAUUUCAGACCGAUUCCUAAGUGCUCUCGAAGAUUUCCCAGUCACAAUACCCCAGGGAGUCCAAACAUACCAG